RNAcentral lists this non-coding RNA (29 nucleotides) under Rattus norvegicus (Norway rat). The record is from RNAcentral. Lineage: Eukaryota; Metazoa; Chordata; Mammalia; Rodentia; Muridae.
UAGAAGGUCUCUAAGUGGAGUAACUGACU